GACAGAGGGGGCAAGCGUUGUCCGGAGUUACUGGGCGUAAAGGGCGCGGAGGCGGUCUGCGGCGUCGGCGCUGAAAGCGCCCCGCUUAACGGGGCGAGGCGUGCCGAUACGCGCAGGCUCGAGGCGAGCAGAGGGUGGUGGAAUUCCGGGUGGAGCGGUGAAAUGCGUAGAGAUCCGGAGGAACGCCAGUGGGGAAGCCGGCCCCCUGGGCUCGGCCUGACGCGGCGGCGCGACAGCGUGGGGAGCAAACCGG
RNAcentral lists this ribosomal RNA (253 nucleotides) under uncultured bacterium. RNAcentral's name for it is "partial 16S ribosomal RNA". It matches the Rfam family "Bacterial small subunit ribosomal RNA", at positions 524 to 776 of the family's 1533-position model. The record is from RNAcentral.